Nannospalax galili (Upper Galilee mountains blind mole rat) is the source of this 231-nucleotide long non-coding RNA. RefSeq lists it as uncharacterized. The record is from RefSeq and is a predicted model, not a curated record. NCBI's taxonomy places the organism in Eukaryota, Metazoa, Chordata, Mammalia, Rodentia, Spalacidae. The transcript is spliced from 3 exons.
CACUUUUUCACUCUAAAAGUCUUUGCCAAACUCCUUCAUGCAGAUUCAUAUGGAAGAAUUUCCAUCAUGCAGUUCUUUAACUAUGUCAUGCGAAAAGUCUGGCUUCAUCAAACAAGAAUAGGACUCAGUUUAUAUGAUGUUGCUGGGCAAGGGUACCUACGGGAAUCUGAUUUAGAAAACUAUAUACUGGAAAUAAUUCCUACUUUGCCACAACUAGAUGGGUUGGAAAAA